RNAcentral lists this ribosomal RNA (269 nucleotides) under uncultured prokaryote. RNAcentral's name for it is "partial 16S ribosomal RNA". It matches the Rfam family "Bacterial small subunit ribosomal RNA", at positions 524 to 792 of the family's 1533-position model. The record is from RNAcentral.
UACGUAGGGGGCCAGCGUUGUCCGGAAUUACUGGGCGUAAAGCGCACGCAGGCGGUCUAGUAAGCGGUGGGUGCAAUCUCAGGGCUCAACCCUGGAACCGCUCGCCGAACUGCUAGACUUGAGCAUGGGAGAGGGCAGUGGAAUUCCCGGUGUAGCGGUGGAAUGCGUAAAUAUCGGGAAGAACACCAGUGGCGAAGGCUGCUGCCUGGAACAUUGCUGACGCUGAGGUGCGAAAGCCAGGGGAGCGAACGGGAUUAGAUACCCCAGUA